UACAGAGGUCCCGAGCGUUGUUCGGAUUUAUUGGGCGUAAAGAGCGUGUAGGCGGCCUGAAAGGUCAGCUGUGAAAACUCGAGGCUCAACCUCGAGACGUCGGUUGAAACCAUCUGGCUAGAGUCCGGAAGAGGAGUGUGGAAUUCCCGGUGUAGCGGUGAAAUUCGUAGAUAUCGGGAGGAACACCAGUGGCGAAGGCGGCUCUCUGGAGCAGUGACUGACGC
Molecule: ribosomal RNA, 224 nt
Filed under: uncultured bacterium
Lineage: Bacteria
Description: partial 16S ribosomal RNA
Rfam family: Bacterial small subunit ribosomal RNA
Source: RNAcentral